This 1419-nucleotide long non-coding RNA is filed under the name Anas platyrhynchos (mallard). RNAcentral's name for it is "lncRNA (ENSAPLG00020011721.1)". Lineage: Eukaryota; Metazoa; Chordata; Aves; Anseriformes; Anatidae. The record is from RNAcentral.
GUGGCGAAGAAGGGCACUUCCCAGCUGCAUCUCCCCCCGUGGAAGUGGGGUAGCAAACACACCUGCAGGUGGCUGAAGUCUUUUAGCAGUCACUUUCUGUGCCUCCCCAGGCAGCAGGACGGGAUGUUUCCCCAGGCAGGGGGCACCUGCCUGCCUGCAUUUGUGCUCGUGACACUCAUCGGGGUGCGGGUGAUGUUCAGAGGACUGUGAGCAGGAGCUUCCGCAGCCCGUUUCGGCACCUCACCCACCACUUAGCUGCUGCCUGUAGGUAAUUGCGUCAGCUGCCACUUGUAGAGGAUCCUUUGAGAUUCCUGGGCCUCUGGAAAUCUUGGCUGAUGAAAGGAAGGGCUCAGAGUCAUAGCGUUAAUUUAUUAUUCAUUACCAGUGAAGUGCCGGCAGUGCAGCGGGCUGUACAGGCAGCCGUCUCACAGCCAAAUAGUUAAUGAUCUUAAGUGACAACGUGCCACUUUCCAGAGACCAGAGAGAGCGGCUCUCUGGAGGGAGACUAUUUAUUUCCAGAAGAUGUGUGCGCAACCACUCAGCACCAAGCCCCUUCCUGGGGCUGGGAUGUCCUUCCUGGGGGUGGGAUGUCUGGGUGUGGGGAGGCAUUUCGGGACCAAGGGCAAUGCUGAGGACCGUGACAAAGUGUGGUGGCAGUGCUGGGGGGAGCAGCAGAGAGGAGGAGGAGGAAGAAGAUGAAGAUGAAGAGGGCCCCCGAGAAGCUAUGCUUUCUCAGUGCCAAGUGGAGCUCCCAGCUGCUCUCUGGAUCCCAGUGGUCUUCAGAGAACAUCUUCCAGGGGCCAUGCCCACUAACCCGGAAAACCUAGGCAAUUGAGGGGAAACUGUGAGCAGAAAUUAAUGGGGACAAAUCCUCCACCCUGACACUGAGCUCCAGCAUGCAGCACUUCUGAGGAGGUGGCAGGGGGCAGAGCAGUACCCCAGCAUCAUCCCUGACCCUCCGCACCACGGGCAGCUCUGCAGGACGGCAAGCAAGACGAGACUCUUCCAUGAGCACUGUUGAAAAUGAUUUUUUUGUUGCUGCUCAAUAAAAUCCUGCCACAGCAACACAAUAUCCUCUCACCAUUACUAAUCUAACUCUCCCUCCAGGAAAUUCAAGGCAGGAAACAUUGUCUGCCUGCAGAGGUGUUUUAUGGUACAAUUCUUUGAGUGGUACCUCAGCCCUCUGUGCCAUUAUUUGAUGUUUGUGAAUUUAGGAAAUGCCAUUCAAUUACCCUAGAAACUGAUUAACACGUUGCAUUUAGUUAUUUGGUUCUGCUCUAUUUUAUAUCAACACUUCUCUUUUAGUGUAUUAUCCUACUUAUUUCUGACCAAAACACACCUCAGGCCAGUCUAGACCUCGCUCAUAACGCAGUUUUUCUGCAAGGCUUCAUCAGCAUAAACGGUUUCUUACUAUGUUCU